AGGGUUUGAUCCUGGCUCAGAACGAACGCUGGCGGCGUGGCUAAGACAUGCAAGUCGAACGGUUCAUUAAUUUAUUAGUGAAUAGUGGCGAAAGGGUUAGUAAUGGAUAGGUAACGUACCUCUUGCUUCAGGAUAGCGUCUGAAAACUUCGGUUUUCUUCCGAAAGGGGCGAUAAUACUGAAUGAUAUCAUCUGUCGAUAGGCGGGUGAUCAAAGAUUUAUCGGCGAGAGAGCGGCCUAUCUCCUAUCAGCUUGUUGGUGAGGUAAUGGCUCACCAAGGCUUUGACGGGUAGCGGGACUGAGAGGUUGGCCCGCAACAUCGGGACUGAGACACUGCCCGGACCUCCACGGAGGGCUGCAGUAACGAAUAUUGCGCAAUGGGCGAAAGCCUGACGCAGCGACGCCGCGUGUAGGAGGAAGUCCUUCGGGAUGUAAACUACUGUCAGGGGUAAGAAAGCGUACUUCGGUACGUUGAUCCACCCCAGAGGAAGUCACGGCUAACUACGUGCCAGCAGCCGCGGUAAUACGUAGGUGGCUAGCGUUGUUCGGUGUCACUGGGCUUAAAGCGUGUGUAGGCGGAAAUGUAAGCGUCUUGUGAAAGCCCCCGGCUUAACCGGGGAAUUGCUGGACGAACUACAUUUCUUGAGGCAAGUAGGGGUGCAUGGAACUCUUGGUGGAGCGGUGGAAUGCGUAGAUAUCAAGAGGAACGCCAAUGGAGAAAUCAGUGCACUGGGCUUGUCCUGACGCUCAGACACGAAAGCGUGGGGAGCGAACGGGAUUAGAUACCCCGGUAGUCCACGCCGUAAACGAUGUCUACUAGGUUGCGGGAGUUCUGACACUGUCGCGACCGAAGCAAAAGUGUUAAGUAGACCGCCUGGGGAGUACGGUCGCAAGGCUAAAACUCAAAGGAAUUGACGGGGGCUCACACAAGCGGUGGAGCAUGUGGAUUAAUUCGAAACAACGCGCAGAACCUUACCUGGGUUUGACAUGUUUGGAUGCAAUUCUGGAAACAGAGGAUGCUGCCUUUCGAGGUGAAACUUACACAGGUGCUGCAUGGCUGUCGUCAGCUCGUGUCGUGAGAUGUCGGGUUAAGUCCUUUAACGAGCGAAACCCUUACCGUUAGUUGCCAGCGCGUUAUGGCGGGGACUCUAGCGGGACUGCCGGUGUUAAACCGGAGGAAGGCGGGGAUGACGUCAAGUCCUCAUGGCCUUUAUGCCCAGGGCUUCACACGUGCUACAAUGGUAGUGACAGAGCGACGCAAGACCGCGAGGUGGAGCAAAUCGCAAAAACACUGCCUCAGUUCGGAUUGCAGGCUGGCAACUCGCCUGCAUGAAGUUGGAAUCGCUAGUAAUCGCGUAUCAGCUAUGACGCGGUGAAUGUGUUCCUGAGCCUUGUACACACCGCCCGUCAAGUCACGGAAGUUGGGAGUACCCGAAGUCGGAUUACAAACCUUUUAGGAUGUGUCUGCCUACGGUAAGCCCGAUGACUGGGACUAAGUCGUAACAAGGUA
RNAcentral lists this ribosomal RNA (1509 nucleotides) under metagenome. RNAcentral's name for it is "bacterial SSU rRNA". It matches the Rfam family "Bacterial small subunit ribosomal RNA". The record is from RNAcentral.